Molecule: ribosomal RNA, 428 nt
Filed under: Bacteroidota bacterium
Lineage: Bacteria; Pseudomonadati; Bacteroidota
Description: Bacteroidetes bacterium partial 16S ribosomal RNA
Rfam family: Bacterial small subunit ribosomal RNA
Source: RNAcentral
UGGGGAAUCUUCCGCAAUGGACGAAAGUCUGACGGAGCAACGCCGCGUGAGUGAAGACGGCCUUCGGGUUGUAAAGCUCUGUGAUUCGGGACGAAAGGCCAUAUGUGAAUAAUAUAUGGAAAUGACGGUACCGAAAAAGCAAGCCCCGGCUAACUACGUGCCAGCAGCCGCGGUAAUACGUAGGGGGCGAGCGUUGUCCGGAAUUACUGGGCGUAAAGGGUUCGCAGGCGGCAUGACAAGUCCGAUGUAAAAGGCGAAAGCUCAACUUUCGUAAGCAUAGGAAACUGGCAAGCUUGAGUGAAGGAGAGGCAAGUGGAAUUCCUAGUGUAGCGGUGGAAUGCAUAGAUAUUAGGGGGAAUACCGAUGGCGAAGGCGACUUGCUGGACUUCAACUGACGCUGAGGAACGAAAGCGUGGGUAGCAAACAGG